RNAcentral lists this ribosomal RNA (376 nucleotides) under uncultured Actinomycetes bacterium. RNAcentral describes it as "uncultured actinobacterium partial 16S ribosomal RNA". Lineage: Bacteria; Bacillati; Actinomycetota; Actinomycetes. The record is from RNAcentral.
GUUGCUGAUCUACGAUUACUAGCAACUCCAACUUCAUGAGGUCGAGUUGCAGACCUCAAUCCGAACUGAGACCGGCUUUUUGGGAUUCGCUCCACCUUACGGUAUUGCAGCCCUCUGUACCGGCCAUUGUAGCAUGCGUGCAGCCCAAGACAUAAGGGGCAUGAUGAUUUGACGUCAUCCCCACCUUCCUCCGAGUUAACCCCGGCAGUCUCCUGUGAGUCCCCAACUAAAUGCUGGCAACACAGAACGAGGGUUGCGCUCGUUGCGGGACUUAACCCAACAUCUCACGACACGAGCUGACGACAACCAUGCACCACCUGUAUAGAGCCCUUGCGGACAUGACAUCUCUGCCACUUUUCCCUAUAUGUCAAGCCUU